AAUGCACAUACUGUGAGCUCGAUGAGUAGGGCGGGACACGUGGUAUCCUGUCUGAAUAUGGGGGGACCAUCCUCCAAGGCUAAAUACUCCUGACUGACCGAUAGUGAACCAGUACCGUGAGGGAAAGGCGAAAAGAACCCCGGCGAGGGGAGUGAAAAAGAACCUGAAACCGUGUACGUACAAGCAGUGGGAGCCUCUUAAUGGGGUGACUGCGUACCUUUUGUAUAAUGGGUCAGCGACUUAUAUUCUGUAGCAAGGUUAACCGAAUAGGGGAGCCGAAGGGAAACCGAGUCUUAACUGGGCGUUAAGUUGCAGGGUAUAGACCCGAAACCCGGUGAUCUAGCCAUGGGCAGGUUGAAGGUUGGGUAACACUAACUGGAGGACCGAACCGACUAAUGUUGAAAAAUUAGCGGAUGACUUGUGGCUGGGGGUGAAAGGCCAAUCAAACCGGGAGAUAGCUGGUUCUCCCCGAAAGCUAUUUAGGUAGCGCCUCGUGAAUUCAUCUCCGGGGGUAGAGCACUGUUUCGGCAAGGGGGUCAUCCCGACUUACCAACCCGAUGCAAACUGCGAAUACCGGAGAAUGUUAUCACGGGAGACACACGGCGGGUGCUAACGUCCGUCGUGAAGAGGGAAACAACCCAGACCGCCAGCUAAGGUCCCAAAGUCAUGGUUAAGUGGGAAACGAUGUGGGAAGGCCCAGACAGCCAGGAUGUUGGCUUAGAAGCAGCCAUCAUUUAAAGAAAGCGUAAUAGCUCACUGGUCGAGUCGGCCUGCGCGGAAGAUGUAACGGGGCUAAACCAUGCACCGAAGCUGCGGCAGCGACACUAUGUGUUGUUGGGUAGGGGAGCGUUCUGUAAGCCUGUGAAGGUGUACUGUGAGGUAUGCUGGAGGUAUCAGAAGUGCGAAUGCUGACAUAAGUAACGAUAAAGCGGGUGAAAAGCCCGCUCGCCGGAAGACCAAGGGUUCCUGUCCAACGUUAAUCGGGGCAGGGUGAGUCGACCCCUAAGGCGAGGCCGAAAGGCGUAGUCGAUGGGAAACAGGUUAAUAUUCCUGUACUUGGUGUUACUGCGAAGGGGGGACGGAGAAGGCUAUGUUGGCCGGGCGACGGUUGUCCCGGUUUAAGCGUGUAGGCUGGUUUUCCAGGCAAAUCCGGAAAAUCAAGGCUGAGGCGUGAUGACGAGGCACUACGGUGCUGAAGCGACAAAUGCCCUGCUUCCAGGAAAAGCCUCUAAGCAUCAGGUAACAUCAAAUCGUACCCCAAACCGACACAGGUGGUCAGGUAGAGAAUACCAAGGCGCUUGAGAGAACUCGGGUGAAGGAACUAGGCAAAAUGGUGCCGUAACUUCGGGAGAAGGCACGCUGAUAUGUAGGUGAAGCGACUUGCUCGUGGAGCUGAAAUCAGUCGAAGAUACCAGCUGGCUGCAACUGUUUAUUAAAAACACAGCACUGUGCAAACACGAAAGUGGACGUAUACGGUGUGACGCCUGCCCGGUGCCGGAAGGUUAAUUGAUGGGGUUAGCGGUAACGCGAAGCUCUUGAUCGAAGCCCCGGUAAACGGCGGCCGUAACUAUAACGGUCCUAAGGUAGCGAAAUUCCUUGUCGGGUAAGUUCCGACCUGCACGAAUGGCGUAAUGAUGGCCAGGCUGUCUCCACCCGAGACUCAGUGAAAUUGAACUCGCUGUGAAGAUGCAGUGUACCCGCGGCAAGACGGAAAGACCCCGUGAACCUUUACUAUAGCUUGACACUGAACAUUGAGCCUUGAUGUGUAGGAUAGGUGGGAGGCUUUGAAGUGUGGACGCCAGUCUGCAUGGAGCCGACCUUGAAAUACCACCCUUUAAUGUUUGAUGUUCUAACGUGGGCCCCUUACCGGGGUUGCGGACAGUGUCUGGUGGGUAGUUUGACUGGGGCGGUCUCCUCCUAAAGAGUAACGGAGGAGCACGAAGGUUGGCUAAUCCUGGUCGGACAUCAGGAGGUUAGUGCAAUGGCAUAAGCCAGCUUGACUGCGAGCGUGACGGCGCGAGCAGGUGCGAAAGCAGGUCAUAGUGAUCCGGUGGUUCUGAAUGGAAGGGCCAUCGCUCAACGGAUAAAAGGUACUCCGGGGAUAACAGGCUGAUACCGCCCAAGAGUUCAUAUCGACGGCGGUGUUUGGCACCUCGAUGUCGGCUCAUCACAUCCUGGGGCUGAAGUAGGUCCCAAGGGUAUGGCUGUUCGCCAUUUAAAGUGGUACGCGAGCUGGGUUUAGAACGUCGUGAGACAGUUCGGUCCCUAUCUGCCGUGGGCGCUGGAGAACUGAGGGGGGCUGCUCCUAGUACGAGAGGACCGGAGUGGACGCAUCACUGGUGUUCGGGUUGUCAUGCCAAUGGCACUGCCCGGUAGCUAAAUGCGGAAGAGAUAAGUGCUGAAAGCAUCUAAGCACGAAACUUGCCCCGAGAUGAGUUCUCCCUGACUCCUUGAGAGUCCUGAAGGAACGUUGAAGACGACGACGUUGAUAGGCCGGGUGUGUAAGCGCAGCGAUGCGUUGAGCUAACCGGUACUAAUGAACCGUGAGGCUUAACCUUACAACGCCGAAG
This 2570-nucleotide ribosomal RNA is filed under the name Escherichia coli. RNAcentral's name for it is "partial 23S ribosomal RNA". It matches the Rfam family "Bacterial large subunit ribosomal RNA", at positions 387 to 2925 of the family's 2925-position model. Lineage: Bacteria; Pseudomonadati; Pseudomonadota; Gammaproteobacteria; Enterobacterales; Enterobacteriaceae. The record is from RNAcentral.